AAACUAUAUGCGUGCAUCUUCCUUUCGAAUCAGAAUCAGCAACAGAUAUUUUUGUUGUUGUUGGCUUUCAUUUGGCUACUCAUUGCAUAGCUUAGAUCUAAUUUAAUUGUCAAAAAUUUCAAAACCAAGCACUUUGUUCCUAUAGUUCUAUUUAAAAAUUGUCUGUGUGAUGAAUGAGCUUUAAUUUGUCAGGUGCUACGAUUGUGCUCCCAACAAUAGUAUGUUGU
This 227-nucleotide unclassified non-coding RNA is filed under the name Hevea brasiliensis (rubber tree). Lineage: Eukaryota; Viridiplantae; Streptophyta; Magnoliopsida; Malpighiales; Euphorbiaceae. The record is from RNAcentral.